GGAGGCGAGCACGGGGUGCGAGCUGGAGCUCUUGUUCUUUUUCCAUUUUGGGAUCGGCGGUUUGGAAGAGGAGGGGUGAGGUAGGAGAGGGUGCGGCGGUGUGGGAGAGGAGUGCGCGGAGUCGCGGGAGGGGAGGAGGGACACGGCGGCCGGGGGAAGGAAGAGGGGCGCGAUCUCGUCUCUACGCGGAGUCAUACCGUCGUCGUCAUGGCAGAGGUACCUGCGCCGCCGCACUGCCGAGGGUCCGUGCCUAGGGGAGGAGGCGGAGGUAGGAGGUGGAGAGGCCAGCGGGACAACGUUGGCACUCGAGAGGGAAAGGAACUGAUGAGAGGAGAGAGUGUAGUGUAGUCUAGCCUAGCCUUGGGACGAAAGAAAAAGACAAGCUAAGUCAGACCUCGUCGUCGUUGACUAAAGGUAGAAGGUCAAGUACAUUUACCGGAACAACACCAACGUGCCACCAGGCACCCCUUGUCCUCGUUUAUGGAAACGAUGUUGGCUCCAGAACUGUCUGGUCAGUCAAUCUCUAUCCAAGCAAAACGUCCCCAACAAUACGAGACAGGGGGCACCAUUCAAACGAUCCGUCGCCGAAUGAGGAUCGAACAAAAAAAUCAAAACUGGUACUAUAGCUUUAAUGUAGACCAGCUACCACAGUUCAAAUCCGUCCAUGGUAGGCGUAAAACACUUCUAACGGUAGUAGAUUUAAAAUAACGCCGUACUACGUAUACAUUAUUCCUUAAACCACAAACUUUUCGUAGUAGCCUUCAACCAUACGAUUAUAGAGUUAACCGUUCUAUUUUCCUAGUGAUGAAGAAUGGAAGGUCAGUAAAAUUAUAAUAUCCUUACGUUCACACAUGAUUCAUCUUUUCUACCAACUUAAAUCACGGGGACGUAAAUGUGCUGAUCCACAAUAAAUCAAAAACAAAGGAAACUACCGAGACUCAUGUUUAACCUCGAACAACCCAUGUUUUACAACGGUUCUAAUCAAAUCCUAGUCUUAACAACAGUACAACAGGUCUAUAACGAGAUUCUCCAAGGAUCUUAAUCAAAUCCUAGUCUCAAUAACAGUACAACAGAUCUAUAACGAGAUUUCUAAGGCCUGCAUGAAAAAUCCAACGAACCAAUAUUAAAAACGGGGGGUUUCCCUUCAAAACCGGUCGAAGAACGAUCUUACAAUAGUAUUCCGAACUAAUUAAAUCUUGUAUGGAAACAGCAAAGUGAGAAUAAAAUAAAAUUAUCAAUAGACCGUACGACAUUUGAUAAAGAAAAUACAAAGGUCCUUCUUUAUCUUCAACUCCCCUUCGAUAACGUACGACCUUUUAGUCAACCACAACAGUUACAACCAAAGUUCUUCUUUUCCUGGCCGUUUAACUACCGAGUCCGUGCAGUAUGUUUCAUGAACAUAGAUCGUCUAACUCUCCCAAGGGAAUACAACAUUCUAUUUUUGGACCAAUAUACAACGUAGAGUUUUAGUUCUACAACUAAGUUCUUCUCUUUCCUCGACAAUCACACGGCACCACUCGCUGGAACAGGGCCUCGUACGUCAAAUAGUCAUAUUUCAUUGCCCAAGUACGAAAUAUGUAGCACAUAUAUACGGUCGGUCCCUCCACCUACCCGAGCAGAGGUGACGCAGCACUCGCGGCGGCGGCGGAGACACUGGUGGAACGAGGCGUAUCAUCGUACACACUCCUUAGCCCCUGUUUCGUUGGUGUUCGUCUACCGCAGCCGACGCUGCCGUUAUACGUGCCACGCGCUUCGGACCAUUCUACCCGCGCCGGAGGGGUGUCCGCAAAGUCCUACCGCACGGGCCGCCGAGCCUUGCGCGCGCGGGCCGCGUGUCCUCCACACAGAACCUCGUCGUACGACCGCCAUUGUACGUGGGACUCCAGGGUCUCGUCGGGUUGGUCAUGUCCUCCUUGGGACGGUAAGGUAGGAGUGGAGAUGAGUAUCUGGUUGUUGUUUUACUAACGAUUACUUUCCAAAUUCAGGUCCAUAUGAGUUUAGUUCCAGAAAAUAGAUUAACCAACCUAUUGAUGAAAUGUCCAGAUACGGAAAUUCAUUUUGAAUUUUGGGGACAAGUUCUUAAGUAGGCUGAUUGGUCAAUUGAACGGCUAAUUAGAGAUGAGCAUCCCAGUGGCUCAUCGGCUAUUUAGCUAUUUAGUAGACUAAUUAACUAAUUUACCGUCUAAUUGAACGGCUAAUCGGAUAAUUAGGGGAUGAGUGGUCGGUUGGCUCGUCGAUGGUCAUUUGCUAAAGGAGUUGUUACGAAUUUUGAUUCGUAAAUUAAUAACAAGAUAACACAAUAACUAAAGUGGCCGAAAUACAGUCGGACUAAUCAAGAUUCCCUAAGGUGUAGCCGAUUAAACCUAAUACGAUGAAAGCUUGUUUUUAUUACUAGUUGCAGCACAUAAAAUGAAAAUUCAUAUUUGCUUGUCAUUUUCUACUCUAUCCCCCGAGGACGAUCCUAUUAUUGUCGUUUUUUGAGUUACGUGUAUAGACUCCUAAAAAUAAACGUCCGACUCUAAGACAUGUAACUAUACUACAUGAGGGAGACAUUUAUUUAUAUUCUCACAAAUCUAUUGAUUUCAUCACUAGGUUUGCGAGAAUAUAAAGAAAUGUCUCCCUCAUAUUCUCUUUAUUAAAUAAAUGAAUAAACCUCUAAUCGGAAAAUCAUAUCCUCACACUAAAGGUCGUUUUUAUUUUAUAUCCUGACACUAUGAAGUUCUAUAAGUACUUUUGUUCAUAAACUAUACAAGUGUAGAUAUAUUGAUGUACAAAUACACAAAAAGUAGGAAAAAGUACAAGUUUAUUUCUAUAUACACACCAAAAACGAGACACGGCUAGUACAAAACCUUCCUAUAAAAGAUACCAUUACAACUUUAUUUCUAUAUAAUGAAAAUUCUUUCCCCGUGAUAUUUAAUAACUUCGCGCGACUUAUUACACUUUUUACAGUGUAUUACUUUGUAAUCAACCACGAUAGGUUUGUGCUAAGACAUGCAAGUCAUCAUUACCCAGUAAGCGAAACGAACCAGUUGGAACGUUGAUUUAGACAUUCUAUUGAAACUUCAAGUGAAACGUGGAUUGCUUUUUUCAACAGGUAAAAAAUUAACUAGUCUGUUGUUAACAAAAUACAGAUGCACGGAAAAAAACCAUGAGUUUAUACAACUAACCACAUAGGAGAAAAAGUCGAAGUUGUAAACCGAGUAAGACCAAAAACCAUUACGAAAGAACUGUCACCUCGUCAGUACCCGGAAAAUAUACACACAUCCAAUACACCCUCGGAAAAUAUCUCGGGAGCACAAAAGUAAAUUUAUAUGAAGCUUUUACAUCUAACUGUUAUUUCCAGUGCUCCAGGUAACGAUUACUUAUUCAUCAGAACGACUUCCACUAUUUAGAGGUUUGACUACCUAUUCGGCUUCCACUAUAAGUUCUCUAGGUAAAGAUUACUUAUUCAUCAGAACGACUUCCACUAUUUAUAGGUUUGACUACCUAUCCGGCUUCCACUAUAAGUUGGAAAACAUAUGACAUCAGCACGACUUCACUUUCGUAGACACCUACGUACAUAUGUACUAAAAGUUAGAAGGAAACAGUUUGAUGCCGUACAUUUCAUACCCUCCUGGUUCACUAAUAUUUGACACAGUUUGGGUACAGAAAUGUACUAAAAAGAUUGUACCUUAAACAGUGAAGUACCUAUGGCCUCAUACAUGUAUCUCGACCUUGCGAAUAACGGAGUACUAAACGAUCACUUUUUAGUUCGUGCUCUGUACACAAUCCUACUACCUAAAGCAAUAAUUUUUCUUCCUACAUUAUAUUCUCGUGAACCUUACGUAAUCUGUAUACAAAUGUCGUGACAUUAACAUCCUAAGGACUAAACACUACGUAUCAGGUGGACGUAAUUAAUCAAAAACAUCAAGGACAUAAAAUAAAGAAUGGCGUUAUAAGACCCAGCAAAGUUUUAAAGACGAGAUGUGUCUUGGAAUUCUUCAAACCCAUACGUGUGUCCAGGAUUAUUAUUACUCGACAAAUCACGUUACGUACACCGGACUAAUGAAGAAAAGAAAACAUGCAACAUGCAAGAACCUCCAGGAAAAAGAGAGAAGACAACUAGUUCAAAAGAAGAAGAAAGAAGACGAAUCGUUCCAAAGAAGGAAGGGAAAAAAACAUCCUUAACGUAAAUAACACACUGGAUACAUAACAGUCACAAGAACGAAGUAACCAGCACAACUAUAAGGCCCAAACCGGGCUGUAACACAAAAGAAA
RNAcentral lists this ribosomal RNA (4257 nucleotides) under Triticum aestivum (bread wheat). RNAcentral describes it as "partial small subunit ribosomal RNA". Lineage: Eukaryota; Viridiplantae; Streptophyta; Magnoliopsida; Poales; Poaceae. The record is from RNAcentral.